UUAAGUUUCAAAUAUUUUUACUCUAUAGUUUUGGAGAAAACUAAAGCCAAAUUCAACCACAAGCAUCUAAGUGCAUAAGCACUUUUACACCAUGUCCCAUAUUCAAACAUUCAUAAAAUUCUUUGCUUUAUAGGUUUGCUUGUUCUUUCAGUUGAUUCCUGUUCACAGUCCCUCUGACCAUUACUGUAUUAAAUUUCAAAUAUUUCUACUCUAUAGUUUUGGAGAAAAUUAAUGGCAAAUUCACCCCAAGCAUCCAAGUGUAUAAGCACUUUUACACCAUGUCACAUUUUCAAACACUCAUAAAAUUCUUUGCUUUAUAGGUUUGCUUGUUCUUUCAGUUGAUUCCUAUUCACAGUCACUCUGACCAUUACUG
Long non-coding RNA from Cyprinus carpio carpio, 373 nucleotides. Lineage: Eukaryota; Metazoa; Chordata; Actinopteri; Cypriniformes; Cyprinidae. The record is from Ensembl.